CAGUAGCCGCGGGAAUACAGAGGGUGCGAGCGUUAAUCGGAUUUACUGGGCGUAAAGCGUGCGUAGGCGGCUUCUUAAGUCGGAUGUGAAAUCCCUGAGCUUAACUUAGGAAUUGCAUUCGAUACUGGGAAGCUAGAGUAUGGGAGAGGAUGGUAGAAUUCCAGGUGUAGCGGUGAAAUGCGUAGAGAUCUGGAGGAAUACCGAUGGCGAAGGCAGCCAUCUGGCCUAAUACUGACGCUGAGGUACGAAAGCAUGGGGAGCAAACAGGAUUAGAUACCCCUGUAGUCCCUGUCUCUUAUAA
RNAcentral lists this ribosomal RNA (301 nucleotides) under uncultured bacterium. RNAcentral's name for it is "partial 16S ribosomal RNA". It matches the Rfam family "Bacterial small subunit ribosomal RNA", at positions 509 to 809 of the family's 1533-position model. The record is from RNAcentral.